RNAcentral lists this transfer RNA (79 nucleotides) under Hafnia phage vB_HpaM_Zyzzx. RNAcentral describes it as "tRNA-Asp". It matches the Rfam family "tRNA". Rfam says of the family: Transfer RNA (tRNA) molecules are approximately 80 nucleotides in length. Lineage: Duplodnaviria; Heunggongvirae; Uroviricota; Caudoviricetes; Andersonviridae. The record is from RNAcentral. RNAcentral also lists the same sequence under 1 other name.
UAGGGCUGUGGGCGAAUAGGAAAGGCCACCAUCCUGUCACGAUGGAGUAUGCGGGUUCGAUACCCGUCAGUCCUGCAAA